GGAGGAAAGCAGGGGAUCGCAAGACCUUGCGCUUUUGGAGCGGCCGAUGUCUGAUUAGCUAGUUGGUGAGGUAAAGGCUUACCAAGGCGUCGAUCAGUAGCUGGUCUGAGAGGACGACCAGCCACACUGGGACUGAGACACGGCCCAGACUCCUACGGGAGGCAGCAGUGGGGAAUUUUGGACAAUGGGGGAAACCCUGAUCCAGCCAUGCCGCGUGAGUGAAGAAGGCCUUCGGGUUGUAAAGCUCUUUCAGCCGGAACGAAACGGUCACGGCUAAUACCUGUGACCACUGACGGUACCGGAAGAAGAAGCACCGGCUAACUACGUGCCAGCAGCCGCGGUAAUACGUAGGGUGCAAGCGUUAAUCGGAAUUACUGGGCGUAAAGCGUGCGCAGGCGGUUUUGUAAGUCAGAUGUGAAAUCCCCGGGCUCAACCUGGGAACUGCGUUUGAAACUACAAAGCUAG
RNAcentral lists this ribosomal RNA (465 nucleotides) under uncultured beta proteobacterium. RNAcentral's name for it is "bacterial SSU rRNA". It matches the Rfam family "Bacterial small subunit ribosomal RNA", at positions 198 to 644 of the family's 1533-position model. Lineage: Bacteria; Pseudomonadati; Pseudomonadota; Betaproteobacteria. The record is from RNAcentral.